RNAcentral lists this ribosomal RNA (587 nucleotides) under uncultured bacterium. RNAcentral's name for it is "partial 16S ribosomal RNA". It matches the Rfam family "Bacterial small subunit ribosomal RNA", at positions 355 to 1375 of the family's 1533-position model. The record is from RNAcentral.
UGGGGAAUUUUGGACAAUGGGCGAAAGCCUGAUCCAGCAAUGCCGCGUGUGUGAAGAAGGCCUUCGGGUUGUAAAGCACUUUUGUCCGGAAAGAAAUCCUUGGCUCUAAUACAGUCGGGGGAUGACGGUACCGGAAGAAUAAGCACCGGCUAACUACGUGCCAGCAGCCGCGGUAAUACGUAGGGUGCAAGCGUUAAUCGGAAUUACUGGGCGUAAAGCGUGCGCAGGCGGUUUGCUAAGACCGAUGUGAAAUCCCCGGGCUCAACCUGGGAACUGCAUUGGUGACUGGCAGGCUAGAGUAUGGCAGAGGGGGGUAGAAUUCCACGUGUAGCAGUGAAAUGCGUAGAGAUGUGGAGGAAUACCGAUGGCGAAGGCAGCCCCCUGGGCCAAUACUGACGCUCAUGCACGAAAGCGUGGGGAGCAAACAGGAUUAGAUACCCCUGGUAGUCCACGCCCUAAACGAUGUCAGCUAGUUGUUGGGGGAUUCAUUUCCUUAGUAACGUAGCUAACGCGUGAAGUUGACCGCCUGGGGAGUACGGUCGCAAGAUUAAAACUCAAAUGAAUUGACGGGGUCAUAGCUGUUUCCU